UACGGGGGGAGCAAGCGUUGUUCGGAUUUACUGGGCGUAAAGGGCGCGUAGGCGGCGCAACAAGUCACUUGUGAAAUCUCCGGGCUUAACCCGGAGCGGCCAAGUGAUACUGUCGUGCUAGAGUGCGGAAGGGGCUACUGGAAUUCUCGGUGUAGCGGUGAAAUGCGUAGAUAUCGAGAGGAACACCGGUGGCGAAGGCGGGACUCUGGGCCGAUACUGACGCUGAGGAGCGAAAGUGUGGGGAGCGAACAGG
RNAcentral lists this ribosomal RNA (253 nucleotides) under uncultured bacterium. Its description in RNAcentral is "partial 16S ribosomal RNA". It matches the Rfam family "Bacterial small subunit ribosomal RNA", at positions 524 to 776 of the family's 1533-position model. The record is from RNAcentral.